Molecule: ribosomal RNA, 445 nt
Filed under: uncultured bacterium
Lineage: Bacteria
Description: partial 16S ribosomal RNA
Rfam family: Bacterial small subunit ribosomal RNA
Source: RNAcentral
GUGAGGAAUAUUGGUCAAUGGACGAGAGUCUGAACCAGCCAAGUCGCGUGAAGGAAGACGGUUCUAUGAAUUGUAAACUUCUUUUGUGCAGGAAUAAAGUGGGUUACGUGUAACCUUUUGUAUGUACUGUACGAAUAAGGAUCGGCUAACUCCGUGCCAGCAGCCGCGGUAAUACGGAGGAUCCGAGCGUUAUCCGGAUUUAUUGGGUUUAAAGUGUGCGUAGGUAGAUUGAUAAGUCAGCGGUGAAAGUUUGCAGCUUAACUGUAAAAUUGCCGUUGAAACUGUCGGUCUUGAGUGCAAAUGAGGUAGGCUGAAUGUGUUGUGUAGCGGUGAAAUGCUUAGAUAUAACACAGAACUCCGAUUGCGAAGGCAGCUUACUGGGAUGCAACUGACACUGAUGCACGAAAGCGUGGGUAUCAAACAGGAUUAGAUACCCCGGUAGUCC